This 408-nucleotide long non-coding RNA is filed under the name Cyanistes caeruleus (blue tit). Its description in RNAcentral is "lncRNA (ENSCCEG00000012279.1)". Lineage: Eukaryota; Metazoa; Chordata; Aves; Passeriformes; Paridae. The record is from RNAcentral.
GUAACACUGUCUCAGGAACAGGUCAACUACCUUGAAGGUCUUAACCUCCAGCUGUAUGGGAGUUUGUGGGCAGGAAGCAAGCAGCACAGAUCAAGGUUUAAUCAAGCAGGACAAAGCCCGGGAACACUAUGGAGUUCAGUGUCCUGCACAGCACCAGAACACAAUGUCCAUACAGGUGAACUGACAUCCUGGUGAAGGAACAGAAAUACUCUGUAGUGGCCUGGACUCAAUCAUUUUGAAAAAGUAAGGGAAAAUAACUCAGGCAUACACAACCAACAGAAUUUCCAAAACUCACUCAUCCUGAACCUUGUCUCUCAUAUGAGAAGGACAUACAAGAAGUGAAACGACUAAGCACAACAUUGCAGCUUAAAUAGUGAUCAAAGAAGAGGCAAGGAACAUAAUGAGGAG